This 72-nucleotide transfer RNA is filed under the name Brugia malayi. RNAcentral's name for it is "tRNA-Arg". It matches the Rfam family "tRNA". From Rfam's summary of the family: Transfer RNA (tRNA) molecules are approximately 80 nucleotides in length. Their secondary structure includes four short double-helical elements and three loops (D, anti-codon, and T loops). The record is from RNAcentral. Lineage: Eukaryota; Metazoa; Nematoda; Chromadorea; Rhabditida; Onchocercidae.
GCUCCCGUGGCCUAAUGGAUAAGGCGUUGGUCUCCUAAACCAACGAUGGGGGUUCAAGUCCCCCCGGGAGCC